GGCCUCAGGAGUUCCCCACCCUCCACAGAUGACAACUGCAGCCCAGACGACCCAUGGCUAGGACUCUGACAUCCAGCCAUCUCAAUAUUCCAGAGAAGAGGAUGAGUGUGAAGGGUGGUGGCGAUUUUAAACAAGGUGAUCAGGAAGACCUUGUGGAUAACUUCGGGUCUGAGCACACUCCAUCAGGAGUCCCCCUCUGUCACCCGGGCUGGAGUGGAAUGGUGCGA
RNAcentral lists this long non-coding RNA (227 nucleotides) under Homo sapiens (human). RNAcentral describes it as "HSALNT0359685". Lineage: Eukaryota; Metazoa; Chordata; Mammalia; Primates; Hominidae. The record is from RNAcentral.